GAACUAUGCUUGUUUUUUCCGGCGAUGAAAUUCGUGUGAUGAUCGAUUUUUACAUGGUGUUGUAUGAAUUUGUAUGGUUUUGAGGGUUGGGAUAUAAGGGACGCAAGUGUGGAAGGUAAUAUUUGAGACGCGCUCGGUCAGUAUCCGCGGGCAUAGCAGGGCCCAUAUUACCAUAUUUAGGUAUGUAUCCUCCCCAAUGAUCGACAUGACACCAAGUUUCCACAUCAUCAAAUCUGAAAUUGAGUCAGACAGUUCCUCGCGUAGCUUAAUGUAGAAGCGAUCCAGGUGAACACAUGUAAAGGAAUGGGAGCUGCGUAUAUGUCCUACCGUCCAUGCUCACAGAACACUGAAGGACUUUGAACAAACUCUCACAGCUUAGUAAACUACAGAACUACUCCGGUUGUAAUUUAUAAGGCUUCCCAGAAGAAUAAACAAACCUUGUCAUGAUAUUCCCAGUAGCCAAAGUAAUUCCGUGACCUAAAAAAUAUCAUGCAAAACCAGUGAAACGAAUCAGUGGUAUAUGGUAAUAAUGUUGUGCCACCAUAGAAAGACGAAAUCACCUAUGUCAAGAAUUGCAAUCGAAAUAGUGUCUAGUAGACUUACACAUUGAGUGAGCAAAUUUCCGGGUACCUCUCAAGCCUACAACAUAGCUGUGAAACCUUAUGCACAUCCUUAAUGCCAAGUCUACUUGUACUCCCUUGCAUUCCUGAUCUACUCUCUCGUCUUGAGGCUUGCCACAUUUUAUAUUGUUUGCUUGAACACCAUCCUUCUGAUGUAUGCAAUCACUAGACAACCA
This 796-nucleotide long non-coding RNA is filed under the name Hordeum vulgare. RNAcentral's name for it is "long non-coding RNA (HVUL_LNC012982)". The record is from RNAcentral. Lineage: Eukaryota; Viridiplantae; Streptophyta; Magnoliopsida; Poales; Poaceae.